RNAcentral lists this transfer RNA (67 nucleotides) under Marmota monax (woodchuck). RNAcentral describes it as "tRNA.Ala". It matches the Rfam family "tRNA". Rfam says of the family: Transfer RNA (tRNA) molecules are approximately 80 nucleotides in length. Lineage: Eukaryota; Metazoa; Chordata; Mammalia; Rodentia; Sciuridae. The record is from RNAcentral.
GGUUGUGGCUCAGUGGUAGAGUGCUUGCCUAGCACACAUGAGGCACUGGAUUCGAUCCCCAGCACCA